RNAcentral lists this ribosomal RNA (209 nucleotides) under uncultured bacterium. RNAcentral describes it as "partial 16S ribosomal RNA". It matches the Rfam family "Bacterial small subunit ribosomal RNA", at positions 524 to 731 of the family's 1533-position model. The record is from RNAcentral.
UACGGAGGGAGCUAGCGUUAUUCGGAAUUACUGGGCGUAAAGCGCACGUAGGCGGCUUUGUAAGUAAGAGGUGAAAGCCUGGAGCUCAACUCCAGAAUUGCCUUUUAGACUGCAUCGCUUGAAUCAUGGAGAGGUGAGUGGAAUUCCGAGUGUAGAGGUGAAAUUCGUAGAUAUUCGGAAGAACACCAGUGGCGAAGGCGGCUACAUCC